This 1486-nucleotide unclassified non-coding RNA is filed under the name Drosophila erecta. Its description in RNAcentral is "GG20763". The record is from RNAcentral. Lineage: Eukaryota; Metazoa; Arthropoda; Insecta; Diptera; Drosophilidae.
AAACAAAUUUCUAAUUUAUUUUGCAACAAAUGCAAACGCCAAGAAUCUAGCUGCACUUAGUCGCGUGAGAACAGCAAGGAUACACGCGGGACGUGUGGAAGCGGGACAAGUGUGGUGCCAACAUGUUGGUCAAGUGCUGCAUCGGAUUCGGGUCACUCUGGCCACUGGCCAUAAUGGUGGCCUUUUCCACUGCCUACAAGAACGUGCGUCUCCAGGACAACAUGUGCUCGGACAAACUGUUCUACACACUGGCUAAGCCGUUCCGUGGCGACCCGACUGUGCGGCUGGAGUUCGAGGACACAUCCGGAGCGAUCGUGACGCAGAUGUGGAACUUGACACUGCCCCACGGCCAUGGGGCCAACAAGAUUAAGUACGAUUGCCAGUUUCGUGUGGUGACCAGCGAGCUACCGCCGCGCGGCAUCUACACCAUUAUUACGCGGCUCAAGUUCCGGCGCGACCCCGUUUCCAAGGAAUGCAUCGAUUACAUUCAGUUCAGCAGCGGCAAUCGCUCGCCCAGCGAACGCAUUUGCACCGACAUCUCCAUUGAUGGCCCGGCCGGACGUCUGAUCUUCGACCAGCGAAACCGCGAUGUCAACGUGCACAUCUUCAUCGAUCGAUCGCGUCAUAUACUGGGUGAUCCACUGGAGCUGCGCAUGGUGCUUACGGCACACUCCGAGUGCCAGUUCAAUGGUGACUUCCUUUGCGAUCCCAACGACCAGUACUCGUGCAUUUCGCGUCACUUUGUGCGGGACAACAUCACCAACUGCCUGUAUCCGUGCCGCGACGAGGGCACCUGCUUUCACGACGCCAUUGUGCCGGAGAUCGAUACGGCCAAUGUGGCUAUAUCGGCGUUGACAUCGCUCAUCUUCACCAUGGUGGGCGUGGGAUUCUGUGUGUGGAUCUGCUGGAAGUAUUGGAACUGCAUAACGGUCCAGCAGCGGGCGCACGAAGCCUCCGCUGCCCGCUUCAAUCAGCGUCGAGUCAGAUCGGAGGUGCCCACCAUUGAGCUGCCACCGUCGGUGCACUACGACGAUAGCGUCCUGCACGAGCACGAUACCCAGCAGCAACAGCAACCCGCCACGCCAAAGGAUCUACCGCCCAGUUAUGAGUCCCUGUUCCCGGAAAGAUAAAGAUCCGCGACGGGUGUCGCUCCGCUUUGUGCCAGAUCAGCAAGUACUUGGUAUCGCACACUUGUUGUAUUAGUCCUAUUAGGUAAUUGUAUCUCUAUCUGAACCGUUCAGCAAUCCAUGUAAAUAUGUUAGGACUGAUUUUAUGUUUUGAGAUUAGCAUUAACGAUCAAACAUCUUUCUCAAUGUGUUCACUUUGAACCAAAUUUCAGAAUACUCUACCCGAGAAUUUCUACAGUUUUACUGGUGUAUAUAUUUAAGUUUUAUGUUGUUCAACUCUCCGUAUUAUUUGCGUAAUUGUAACUGUUGAAACCGCCUUUUGGCGAUGCAAAUUGUUUACUCACUUACCAAAUUUCACU